This is a long non-coding RNA of Dermacentor albipictus, 1247 nucleotides long. RefSeq lists it as uncharacterized. The record is from RefSeq and is a predicted model, not a curated record. Lineage: Eukaryota; Metazoa; Arthropoda; Arachnida; Ixodida; Ixodidae.
GCAAUUCUUUCGCGCCCAGCGCAUUCUAACCACACUCUGACGGUUAGAAAACUUUAUAAACGAAGCGUUCUUUUAUUUAGACAACAAGCUAGUGACACUUGGUGAAGUCGAACACAGCAGGCUAUGAGUGGCUGCUUGAGAGACUGCCGCCGCUCCUUAGGCACUUGCCACGCUCGCUAGAAGACGUGUCUAUCGUCUCUUUUGGGGCAUUGGACACUUGCUCUCUGGAGCAGUUUGUUCGCCUUGAAGACCUCGCCUCAGGAGACGGGACCCUGGAAGCCACCAACCCGCAAGCCUAUGCCUCCUUCUGGGACGGCAGUGCCGCGCUUACUGCAACCCCGGGGGGGCCAUCGCCACCGGCUCACUGCGUCUGGGCCGAACAGCUGCUGGAAGCCAUUGUGGCGCCGCCCCCUGACGCGCCACUUCAGCAAAGCUGUUCUUUGGCAGGAUAGGCAGGACCGCGAUUAUGCGAUGUGCUCCCCGUCACAGUUUAUGCAAUGUGGAGUAUUCUUGCAUGAUUCAGACAUGUGUUCAGAAGCGCUGCAUUUAGCGCAAGUAAAAUGAGUUCGACAGCUCUGUGAGCUAUGUCCAAAUCUCUCGCAUUUAAAGCAUCACAGGGGAUUGGGGAUAUACGGCCUGACUCCGAUCUUUACAUAGCCUGCCUCAAUAGUCUCGAGCAGUACACUUGAGCCAAAGGUUAAAAUGAGAUGCUUGUUCAGAAUUUCAUUUUCUUCACGCUUCAUCUUAAUUCUUUUGACACUGAUGACAUUUUGUUCACUCCAGCCCUCUAAGAGUUCAGUCUCACUGAGUUUCAUGAAAUCAUCAUCCGAAAUUAUAAGGUCCAAACACUUGACAUUGGCUCAAUCGCCAGGAUCCCCUUUCCCAGGACACGGCUAAGACACACAGGCAUAGAUGCGGGAGGUUCGAACCCCUGUGUGCUUGGGUACAUGGUGUCACAACGCAAUAAACACCUGCUUCCGCAGACGCCCCUGCGGGGUGGUUUAGGAAUAGUGAUGCAAACAGUCUGAGGCAAAAUGAAAACAUUUAGAGUGUUUCAUCUUAGUGAAGAAAAAGACUGCCCUCAAUGAUAAACAUGUCAGAAGUCUUGCCUUCUACAAUUUACAGAAAGCAUGGCGAAUAGCAGGUGGAUUUUAUUAGCCUGCAUGGACUGGACAUUGAUAACACGUAAGAGUUCUGUAGCAACAUUAGCUAGUGUCUGCAUACCGAGGAUGAAAAAGCAUAUUAAA